Molecule: ribosomal RNA, 482 nt
Filed under: uncultured bacterium
Lineage: Bacteria
Description: partial 16S ribosomal RNA
Rfam family: Bacterial small subunit ribosomal RNA
Source: RNAcentral
GAUGAACGCUAGCGGCAGGCCUAAUACAUGCAAGUCGGACGGGAUUCAGGAGCUUUCUUCUGAUGAGAGUGGCGCACGGGUGCGUAACACGUAUGUAACCUACCUUUAUCAGGGGGAUAGCCCCUCGAAAGAGAGAUUAAGCCCGCAUAAAAUCACAGCACAGCAUUGUGUAAUGAUCAAAUAUUUAUAGGAUAAAGAUGGGCAUGCGGGACAUUAGCUAGAUGGCGGGGUAACGGCCCACCAUGGCGACGAUGUUUAGGGGAUCUGAGAGGAGGGCCCCCCACACUGGUACUGAGACACGGACCAGACUCCUACGGGAGGCAGCAGUAAGGAAUAUAGGUCAAUGGGCGGAAGCCUGAACCAGCCAUGCCGCGUGCAGGAAGACGGCCCUACGGGUUGUAAACUGCUUGUAUACGGGAAUAAACCCAGAUACGUGUAUCUGGCUGAAUGUACUGUAAGAAUAAGGAUCGGCUAACUCCGUG